AGCAGCCGCGGUAAUUCCAGCUCCAAUAGCGUAUAUUAAAGUUGUUGCAGUUAAAAAGCUCGUAGUUGAAUUUCGGGGUUAGUAGGUUGGUCAUGCCUCCGGUAUGUACUGGUCUCACUGAUUCCUCCUUCCUGAUGAACCGUAAUGCCAUUAAUUUGGUGUUGCGGGGAAUUUGGACUGUUACUUUGAAAAAUUAGAGUGUUUAAAGCAAGCUAACGCUUGAAUACAUUAGCAUGGAAUAAUGAAAUAGGACGUUCGAUCCUAUUUUGUUGGUUUCUAGGAUUGACGUAAUGAUUAAUAGGGAUAGUUGGGGGCAUUAGUAUUCAAUUGUCAGAGGUGAAAUUCUUGGAUUUAUUGAAGACUGACUACUGCGAAAGCAUUUGCCAAGGAUGUUUUCAUUAAUCAAGAACGAAAGUUAGGGGAUCGAAGACGAUCAGAUACCGUCGUAGU
RNAcentral lists this ribosomal RNA (450 nucleotides) under uncultured Glomus. RNAcentral describes it as "SSU rRNA". It matches the Rfam family "Eukaryotic small subunit ribosomal RNA", at positions 569 to 1024 of the family's 1831-position model. The record is from RNAcentral. Lineage: Eukaryota; Fungi; Glomeromycota; Glomeromycetes; Glomerales; Glomeraceae.